This 253-nucleotide ribosomal RNA is filed under the name uncultured bacterium. Its description in RNAcentral is "partial 16S ribosomal RNA". It matches the Rfam family "Bacterial small subunit ribosomal RNA", at positions 524 to 776 of the family's 1533-position model. The record is from RNAcentral.
UACGUAGGGUGCAAGCGUUGUCCGGAAUUAUUGGGCGUAAAGAGCUCGUAGGUGGUUUGUCGCGUUGUUCGUGAAAACUCACAGCUCAACUGUGGGCGUGCGGGCGAUACGGGCAGACUGGAGUACUGCAGGGGAGACUGGAAUUCCUGGUGUAGCGGUGGAAUGCGCAGAUAUCAGGAGGAACACCGGUGGCGAAGGCGGGUCUCUGGGCAGUAACUGACGCUGAGGAGCGAAGGCGUGGGGAGCGAACAGG